This is a long non-coding RNA of Lytechinus variegatus (green sea urchin), 617 nucleotides long. RefSeq lists it as uncharacterized. The transcript is spliced from 2 exons. NCBI's taxonomy places the organism in Eukaryota, Metazoa, Echinodermata, Echinoidea, Temnopleuroida, Toxopneustidae. The record is from RefSeq and is a predicted model, not a curated record.
UCUAAAAUGAGACGAAAGCUUUCGGGUCUACUACCAACUAGAGCCCAUGGAACGAGAUAUUAAAGAGAGCAAAGUAUAAUUUUGCCCAAGUAAGACGACGACCAAUAAAAGAAAGGUUGACCCGAUAACAGGAUGCGAGUAAGCUGACGCUUUUGUCAUUAUAAUCUGCAACGUCAGUAAAGUUAUUGUGAAGUUCAUGAAUAUUCACAUCCUUACUUCUUCACAUCUUACGUGCAAUUUUGUACUUGUUAUUACGUUUAAAUUAUAGAAUUACAUGGAUACGUCAUUAAUGUUGCUCCAGAGAGCGGCACAGAGAUUUGAGGUUUCUUUCUCUCAAAACUUGCCAAGAUUGUACAGAUUCAUAAAAUCAUGUGACUGUGUUCUCUUUGUAGUGUGAGAUGUUUAACUGAUUUAUAUCGCAGAUAAGAUUUGAUCAAGUACGGCGACCGAUGGAUGGGGAGCAUACUUACCUGGCGCAGGGGUCGCAUUGAUCAAGAAGGAUGCACCCCCAGGGCGAGGCUUGCCAUUGCACUCCGGCUUGCUGAACCUUGCGAUUCCCCCAAAUGUGGGGAACUCGGGCGUACAAUUUAUGGUAGCGGAGAUCUGCGUUCGCGCUA